This is a long non-coding RNA of Phasianus colchicus (ring-necked pheasant), 1601 nucleotides long. The record is from Ensembl. Lineage: Eukaryota; Metazoa; Chordata; Aves; Galliformes; Phasianidae.
GCAGAUGACACUUACCAAAAGCAGAUCAGAACAUGAGAAGGCCUUUUGCUCUUGGAGGUUCUGUUUUUAUAGAGUGAGAUGUAGAUGCAUUUAACGCUCAUAUCCUCUAGUCAGGAUGAGUUAAAUUUUUUCAGGAGAUCUUAGCCUUGGUCACUGCAUUUCUCAGCAAACAGCAUAAUACCUGCAUCUUCUCUUUAAACUGGAGUUGACCUUCCAGCUUCAGCUAGAGCAGUGUUGAGAGGCAUUGGACAGCUGCUAUAUUGCAAAUCAAAGCUGGCUGCCCUUUUCAAUAGGCUUGGCAGUGUAGCCUAGUGCUUUCAGAGAGAGAGUUCAAAGGAUAGCCUUUAGAGUAGCAUAAGAAAUGGUCAGCAAGGAUCAUCUUAUCAUUAAUUGUUGUUUUCUUUUUUUUUUUCCAGAUGCCUUUUCUGAUGACUGGAAAAAAGAAUUUUGGAAACUACCAUAUUCCUUGCUUUGUUGCUUCUAUCUUCCAAAUUCUGCUGCUGCUGAGACAGAUCUCUGCUCUAACAUGGCCAGUCCUAACUCUGGAAAGGCCUACCUUGGACCUUGUGGGCCAUGCAUGACUUUUGAGGACUGGAUCUGAAAGUCUUCCCCAGGAACAUGUUUUUGUAGAACAUCUGUUUUAAAAAUACAAGGUAUGUGCAAACCAAAGUAAGGCCAAGGUCAUCUGAAGUUUAUCACUACUCUACCCAAGUGCUGCCUGUAGUCAUUUUGCUAGCUUUAGUUUCAUCUGGUCCGUGCAUAGUGAAAAUUCUGCUCAUAAAGCAGUCACAAAAAUUGUUAUGGCCCUAAGGAAUGCUCCUUAAAGCAAAUAAGUGCCGUAGUUUCCAGAUUCCAUCCCUAAUUAGAGAGAGAGGUCAAGUGUCAGGUCCAUCAGUGGGCUGUAGUAUUUCAAUUUUCCAUCAGUGAGGGUCAUUCAUUUUAGAAGACAAAGAGGCUGAGAAUUUCUUUGUGACGUUGUUCUGGUUGCCUUUCCACCUCAUGUUGUUCCUCUCCUUUUCGUGAUACUUUAGCUUAUUGUUUAAAAAAACAAAAAGUGUCUCUGGAUAAGACUUUAGUGGACUCUUAAAUCACUGUGUUUUGUUUUUUUUUCUUCUGCUGGUUGGCAAUGUCGUGCCUUCUGUUCCAUUAACCUAGCGCCUGAUUACACCAACUGUCUGAAAUGCAAUUAGAAUGACUGCCUAUGAUCUUAUCUGGCACUAACAUCUCCUUUCAUUUUUUAAUUUCAUUUCAAACACAUGGAACCAUUCGAAAUUCCUUUUUCCACCUUUAUCUAGGUUCCAUUUUCUUAAAUGAAAUCAUCUAGCUUCUCCAAAGGGAAUAGUUUAAUUGUUCAAGAUGCAUGAUUUGUGAUGACCUUACAAUUGUGCAGGACCACAGUCCAUGGUGUUCCAUGCAAGUGAUCAGAAGGGGCCAGGCUUGCCUUUGAAGUGGGGUAGCUUAUUAGAAAAGCGGAAAGUUGCAUCAAACUUUCAUUCCAAUUAACUACAUCCUUUCCACAUAAGCAUGUUCUUUGUGUUGUGGUAUGGUAGGUCGGUUGGUUGUUUUUCUUCUCCUUGAAAUUUACUGCCAAAACUGCUUCA